GUGAAUACUCUGCAUGUCGUGGAUGUAGCUCUUCGCUAGCAGCACCAACAUAAUACGUCGGAGAGACACUGACUUCAUCUUUGUUAGCCCUCCAAGACCGGUUUGAGUGCAGAUGGCCUUUAGGUGCUCGUCAUCUAAUCCAUCAAUCAUUUGCGCGAACCUUAUCGGCGUUCUAACCGUGAUGCGAAUAGGUGGAUGAAGAGGAAGCAGUACCGUCGUAUCGCACAGGCCAGGUGGGUGGUGGCCGCUGGCUCCGAUCCCCUGGGUGGUUGGGUGUGGCUGGCGGCUCCAAUCGCUCCGGUCAGGAGGGCGGCGUUGGCGUUCGAGCUGAAUGCGUGAAGUGUCCACGGAGAGAGUUCGACGCCGGCGACGAGCAUAGAGAGGCGGAUCACGAUGCUGUGGACGGAGCAAAAUUCAGAGAAAACCCAUAAGAUCUCAUGAUGGCUUCAUGCACAGAAACAAGCAGUGACGUCGUAUUCCGCAGGCCGGAUGGGCGGUCGUCGGCGGCUCCGUUCCCGUGGGUGAGGACGGCGGCUCCGUUACAGCCGGUGAACAGGGCGGCGGCGAUGGGACUGGCGUUGGAGGAGAAGGUCGCGUGUGAGAAGGCGGCUGGAAUGGAAUGUGAGUGGAGAAUCGAGUUGCAGCCGGCUAGGCCAGUUGGAUUGGAGGUUGUUGCAGAUAAUGGGGGAGGUGGGAGCGGAGUUUGGGGGUUCGGCUCACCUGCAGGGUUCCCAGCACGGAUUAUUAUGCAGGGCCAAUUAACGAGUGGCACGUGUCCAUGUGGGCCAACAACUAUAAUUAAUUUUGAUUAAUUUUGUUUCCUGCCGUUU
Non-coding RNA from Aegilops tauschii subsp. strangulata, 830 nucleotides. Lineage: Eukaryota; Viridiplantae; Streptophyta; Magnoliopsida; Poales; Poaceae. The record is from RefSeq and is a predicted model, not a curated record.